Eriocheir sinensis (Chinese mitten crab) is the source of this 3204-nucleotide long non-coding RNA. RefSeq lists it as uncharacterized. The record is from RefSeq and is a predicted model, not a curated record. Lineage: Eukaryota; Metazoa; Arthropoda; Malacostraca; Decapoda; Varunidae. The transcript has 2 exons.
UGUAGGUGGUGAAAGACAAGCUUCUAAAUCGUCCGAAUCAUCCCCACCCGUGGUAAUGGUUCGGCCAGGGAGGUGGGAUGGUACGGACACUCAUAAUGCUCGCCAUAAUAUUAAUAUAACUUAAGUUUGAUUGGCUAAUAAACAAGAUUAUAUCUUCUACAAAACAUUUAUAUAAGGACAAAGUAUCCUCUCAAUAUUUAAAGGGGAAAAAAAAUGUAACGGUCCGAAUGUGAGUGAACGAGAAUGUGAGUAAGUCAGUGAGUAACAGAGUGAGUAAGUGUAAGCGAGUGCAUGAAUGAACGAGAGAAUGUGAGUAAGUCGGUGAGUGACAGAGUGAGUAAGUGUGAGUGAGUGGGAGCGUGAGUGAAUGAGUGAAUGAGUGAAAGAGUGAAUGGGUGGCUGAGGAAUGUAAGUGCGUAAAAGGUUAUGAGAGGAUAACACGGCGAGCGAAUGAGUAAAUAUCGUGAACGAGAGUUACUGAAAUCCCUCAUCUCAAAGCCUCGAACCCCUCCAAGAAACCAAUAACUAGUUAGUUAGUUAGGUAGGGUUUGAUUGUAAUGCCGAGAGGGAGUCACGUGAAGAAGGGGGAGGAGCUUAGCGAGGAGCAGAGGCGAGAAGGCGAGGGCAAGGAGACCCACGGGUCAGUGAGGAGAGAAGCACCACUGCAGCAAGCCAGAAGCUUGAGAGAAGUGAGGAGACUAGCACCACUGCAGCAAGCUAGAAGCUUGGGAGACGCGAGGAGACGAACACACCACCCACGGCUUGCUGUGUGAGGCGGGCUAGUCAGGAGACGAGCACACCACCCACGGCCUGUGUGAGGCGGGCUAGCCAGGAGAUGAGCAGCAGCCCUAGCCAGGAAAGGCAGCAAGUUCGAGUUGAGUGAGAGAGGUGUCUAUCUCUCCACUCAGGCCCCCCCCCCCCCCCCCCGAGAAAAACACCCACGGCCUGCGGGGUGAGACGGACUACAGGAUGGGAACUUGUAUGGCGGGGUAACCUGCAGUGUAUGGCGGGGUAACCUGCCCCUCGACUGCCCUGGGGGCCGAAAUACCACUGCCCAAGCUGCUCCCUACAUCAAAGGGCACCCGCCUCUUCACACCACCCGAGCCGCUCCACAUCAAGCGGCGCCCGUCUGUCCAUCACCAGGACCGCCCAUUCCCAUCGUGGCCGUCCCCUGCCGAGCCAGACACUCACGCCAGCUCCUCCUUCUCCACAUCCAGCAACUAGAGCUAAGCAUUCUGUGUAUUCCCCAAAUCUCCCUUGUGCCGGUAGCUAGCUAGAUUAGAGGCCUACAGCCUGUCAGUCAUUCAUUUUUUUUUCAUUCAUUUUUUUUAUUUUUAUUAGAACUCCGCUAACCUUUGCAAAAGGAAACCAAAUACAUAUUUAUAUACAACCUUACUGAGUGUUAUCAUUUGGAGCCUGUUUUGCUGCUCAUUUGAGAUUACUGAACCAUACACACAUCCCUCCCCCAUAGCACAUUAUCACCAUCCAGUUUCUUAAUGCUGUCUCAAAAGUGGUUCCCACGGAAAUCCUUCCAUAAUUAACCACACAAGUAACGCCCUUCCGGUCACAAACUUUGGAACGAGUGUUCACUUGUUAUGAGGCCUUAACAUCCGGGACCAGCGCUCGACCACUACCACGCUACCACAUACCAUCAUAACCCUAGUGGUCGUUAAAAAGGGGAUGUAGCUUUAAUUUGUUUUCUCUUUCCACGCUACAAAAAUAAAAGAACUAAGAAAUAUCUGUACUUUUGGUAUUAUGGCUUCCUUCUCUUCUCACAAGCAUAAUAUCUGAAUAUAAAUCAACCAAAUUAAGUGUGGUCACACUCCUUUUCCAGCACAAGAGCCUCGGUGGUGAUCGUGUUAUACGGCAACACCUUCGCCGAGCAUCGCUGCGUCACCGAAAUAACUUGCAUCUCGCUAAUUGGCACGUUUUUGAAGAGCUUAACGAUACACCCUGACAAUAUUACAUAAGAGAUGCAAAAAACUUAAAUUAGGACUUGCAGCGAAAAUAACAGCUCUGAGGGCGUGGUUAUCCCUUUGUGGGCCAAGGCAACAAAGUUUUGCACAUUUGUAGUGACGACUAGCCUGAUACCUGAGGAGGAGCAGGAAAGAUGAGGAGAGGAGGGAGGGGCCGAGGGUGAGGAGGAGCAGGGAAGAUGAGGAGAGGGAGGAGAGAGGGGACAAACAGUAUAAGAAGGGGAGAGAAAAUGGGAGCGCUAGGAGAAGGGAAGGGGGAGAAGGGAGCUAGGGGCCGAGGGUGAGGAGCAGGAAAGAUGGGAGGAGGGAGAAGAGAGGAGCAGCUUGUUAAACAGUAAGAAGGGGAGAGAAGAUGAAAGCUAGAAGGGAGGGGGAAGAAGAGAAGGGAGACCAUGAAAGUGAAUUAUAUAAUCAGCCUCUUACCAUUUCCAGCAUAUUAUUUUACUUAUCAAAUAAAUCUCCCAAAUAAAUCCGUAUUUCCAUAACUCUCCCUACAAAGAUUGAUUGAUAGAUAAUUUAUUGUGGCAGAUAAACAAGGGAGAAGGGAGGCACAUGCCAUCCCAACCCCCAGGCAGGACAGUGAUUAUACAACUAUUAAUACAAAAAGGGAAUAUAAGAGUAUGAAUUGCAUGGUGAAUAAUUAUAUAUAUGGUGUGUGCCUUUAUUUCAAAUGUCAACACUUGAAAGCAUAUUUAUUGGAAAGCAGAACACAAUUAUAAGAGAGCCAUAUAAAACUCAGUAGUAAACAUACCGACAAAAUACAUACUGGGAUAAGUUAAUGUUGAGCAAAAGAAAACAAAUAAACAAUGAUAACAAUAAUAAAAGACAUCAACAUCACUGCAGUUAAUUACUUCUAUACUGCAUGAAGUGUAGGUAUAGGGAUUCUAAAAAGGAGGUUGGGGCCUUAUGAAGGGAUAUAGAGAGAACUGAUAGAGAAGAUAUAUUUAUAAAGGGCAGGGGAGAGAGAAUCAAUGGAAAAGAUAUAUAUUUGUAAAGGGCAGGGGAGAGAGAAUCAAUGGAAAAGAUAUAUAUUUGUAAAGGGCAGGGGAGAGAGAAUUAAUAGAAAAGAUAUAUUUGUAUGGGGCAGGGGAGAGAGAAUUAAUAGAAAAGAUAUAUUUGUAUGGGACAGGGGAGAGAGAAUUAAUAGAAAAGAUAUAUUUGUAUGGAGCAGGGGAGAGAGAAUUAAUAGAAAAGAUAUAUUUGUGUGGAAUAGGGGACAUAGAAUAGA